AGAGUUCGAUUCUGGCUCAGGACGAACGCUGGCGGCGUGCUUAAUACAUGCAAGUCGAACGGGAUUUGUUUGUUGCACAAAACAUUCUUAUAUAGUGUGUUUUGUGCAACGAAUAAGUCUAGUGGCGGACGGGUGAGUAACGCGUGAAUAAUCUACCUCUUACAGGGGGACAACAGAUAGAAAUGUCUGCUAAUACCGCAUAAGACCACGGCCUGGCAUCAGGCAGGGGUAAAAGAUUUAUUUCGGUGAGAGAUGAGUUCGCGUAUCAUUAGUUAGUUGGUGGGGUAACGGCCUACCAAGACUACGAUGGUUAGCCGACCUGAGAGGGUGAUCGGCCACAUUGGAACUGAGAACGGUCCAGACUCCUACGGGAGGCAGCAGUAAGGAAUAUUGGGCAAUGGAGGCAACUCUGACCCAGCAACGCCGCGUGAAGGAAGAAGGCCCUCGGGUUGUAAACUUCUGUUAUCAGGGAAGAAGAUAGUGACGGUACCUGAUGAGAAAGCUCCGGCUAACUACGUGCCAGCAGCCGCGGUAAUACGUAGGGAGCAAGCGUUGUCCGGAUUGACUGGGCGUAAAGGGAGUGUAGGCGGUUUGGUAAGUCAAAUGUGAAAGCCCGUGGCUCAACCACGGAACUGCAUUUGAUACUGCUAGACUUGAGUUCGGGAGAGGUAAGUAGAAUUCCUAGUGUAGCGGUGGAAUGCGUAGAUAUUAGGAGGAAUACCAGUGGCGAAGGCGGCUUACUGGAACGACACUGACGCUGAGGCUCGAAAGCGUGGGGAGCAAACAGGAUUAGAUACCCUGGUAGUCCACGCCGUAAACGAUGGAUACUAAAUGUGGGAGGUAUCGACUCCUUCCGUAUUGUAGUUAACACGAUAAGUAUCCCGCCUGGGGAGUACGGUCGCAAGAUUAAAACUCAAAGAAAUUGACGGGGACCCGCACAAGCAGCGGAGCAUGUGGAUUAAUUCGAUGCAACGCGAAAAACCUUACCAAGACUUGACAUUUUGUGCAUAUCUAUGAAAGUAGAGAAUUUGAAGCAAUUCAACACAUAAACAGAUGGUGCAUGGUUGUCGUCAGCUCGUGUCGUGAGAUGUUGGGUUAAGUCCCGCAACGAGCGCAACCCUUACUGUUAGUUGCCAUCAUUCAGUUGGGCACUCUAGCAGAACUGCCGUAGAUAAUACGGAGGAAGGUGGGGAUGACGUCAAAUCAUCAUGCCUCUUACGUCUUGGGCUUCACACGUGCUACAAUGGCCAUUACAAAGAGUUGCGAGAUGGUAACAUGGAGCUAAUCUCAAAAAAAUGGUCUCAGUUCGGAUUGUGGGCUGAAACUCGCCCACAUGAAGUCGGAGUUGCUAGUAAUCCCGAAUCAGCAUGUCGGGGUGAAUGCGUUCCCGGGUCUUGUACACACCGCCCGUCACGCCAUGGGAGUCGAGGGGGCCCGAAGUCGGUGAGCUAACCCAGCAAUGGGAGGCAGCUGCCUAAGGCAAAAUCGAUGACUGGGGUGAAGUCGUAACAAGGUAGCUAUACGAGAACGUGUGGCUG
This 1538-nucleotide ribosomal RNA is filed under the name Christensenella sp. UBA7862. Its description in RNAcentral is "bacterial SSU rRNA". It matches the Rfam family "Bacterial small subunit ribosomal RNA". Lineage: Bacteria; Bacillati; Bacillota; Clostridia; Christensenellales; Christensenellaceae. The record is from RNAcentral.